RNAcentral lists this long non-coding RNA (213 nucleotides) under Lathyrus oleraceus (garden pea). RNAcentral describes it as "Pisum sativum (pea) long non-coding RNA (PSAT_LNC040824)". The record is from RNAcentral. Lineage: Eukaryota; Viridiplantae; Streptophyta; Magnoliopsida; Fabales; Fabaceae.
GAGAUAUAUCCUCGUGGAUGACGAUUUCUUCCGUUUCCUCCCAACACAUCUAUUGGGAUGGAUUUUCCUAUUUGAGUUACAUCCUCAUUAGGACGUGUCUUUAUUCAGUCUGUUUUUUCGGAUUAUUCCCGAAUCGACUAUUUGUCAGAUAUCUUGUGCUUCCCAGUGGGUUGUUCCCCAGUGGAAUGUUUUCGGGCCUCUACCCUCAUACCG